Molecule: ribosomal RNA, 3303 nt
Filed under: Capsicum annuum
Lineage: Eukaryota; Viridiplantae; Streptophyta; Magnoliopsida; Solanales; Solanaceae
Description: bacterial LSU rRNA
Rfam family: Eukaryotic large subunit ribosomal RNA
Source: RNAcentral
GCGACCCCAGGUUAAUCGGGAUUACCAGCUGAGUUUAAGCAUAUCAAUAAGUGGCGGAAACGAAACUUAAAAGGAUUACCUUAGUAACGGCGAGCAAAUCGGGAACAACCCAGACUUAGAAUCAGGCGACUCCGUUGUCCGAUUGUAGUCCGGAAAAGCAUCCUCAAUGGCGGACCAGGUCCAAGUCCUUUGGAAAGGGGACCUAGAGAGGGUGAGAGUCCCAUUGUUCUUGGACCCUAUCUCAUCACAAGGCACUGUCUAUGAGUUGAGUUGUUUAGAAAUGCAGCCCAAAUCAGGCAGUGAAUUCUAUCGAAGGCUAAAUACUGGCGAGAGACCGAUAGAAAAUGAGUAAUGCAAGGGAGUGAUGAAAAAUAAUUUGAAAAGAGAGUCAAAGAGUUCUUGAAAUGUUUGAUCGAAAAGAGGAUAGGGGUCAGCGAUGCACCCCAGUCGGAUAUAGAACAACCAUGAUCCAGUCCGCCGAUCGACUCAGGGAGUGGACCAGUAUGGAUUGGGGGAGGCCAAAAUCAAAGAUCUCGAUACACUCCUAGAACACCGUUUCCUCGAUUGUGGCAAGAAGCAUGAGCCUCUGGCGUGGUUCGACAUCUGCGCACUCUAGACGCUGGCUUGUGGGCUACCCAUUUGACUCAUCUUGAAACACGGACCAAGGAGUCUAACAUGUGUGUGAGUCAAUGGGCGAGUAAAAUCAUAAGGUGCAAGGAAGCUGAUUGGUGGGAUUCCCCUAAGGGGUACACCGCCGACCAACCUUGAUCUUCUAAGAAGGGUUCGAGUGUGAGCAUACCUGUCGAGACCCGAAAGACGGUGAACUAUGCCUGAGCGGGGUAAAGCCAGAGGAUAUUCUGGUGGAGUCCCAUAGCUAUACUAACAUGUAGAUCAUUCGUCUAACUUGGGUAUAGGGGCGAAAGAAUAAUUGAACCAUAUACUAGGUGGUUCCCUCAGAAGCUUCCCUCAGGAGAGAUGGAGCUCGCGUGUCAGUUCUAUCAGGUAAAGCCAAUGAUUAGAGGCCUCAGGGGCGCAACUCCUUUUACCUAUUCUUAAACUUUAAAUAAGUAGGACGGUGCGACUGGUUUGUUGAGCUGCGCCACAGAAUUAAGAGCUCCAAGUGGGCUAUUUUUGGUAAGCAGAACUAACGAUGUGGUAUGUACUAAAAUAUGGGUUAUGGUGCCAAAAUACGCUCUAACCUAGAUCCCACAAAGGGUGUUGGUAGAUUAAGACAGCAUGAUAGUAGUCAUGGAAUUCAAAAUCUGCUAAGGAGUGUGUAACAACUCACCUGCCGAAUAACCUAGCCUCAAAAAUGAAUGGUGCUUAAGCACGUGACCUACACCCAGUUGUCAGGGAAAAUGCCAGGCCACGAUGUGUAUGAGGGUACAACGGUCACUAUAGAACUUUGGGCGCGAGCCCGGGUGAAGUGGCCAUCAGUGCAAAUCUUGGUGGUAAUAGCAAAUAUUCAAAUGAGAACUUUGAAGGACGGAGAGGGGAAAGGUUCCGUGUGAAUGAUAGUUUAACAUAGUUUAGUCAAUCAUAAGGUUCAGGAGAACCUCGAUCGAUAGCGCAUUUUGUGUGUACUCUAAAAGAAAAUCAGGUUAAAAUUCUUAAACUGAGACAUGGCGAUCAAUGGCAACGUUAGGAAGUCCGUAGUUAUAGGUGGGAGCCUUGGGAAGAGUCAUCUUUUCUGUUUAAUAGCCUGCCUACCCUGGAAUUGGCUCAGACGGAGGCAGGGUCCAGUGGCUGAAAAAGUAUCGUACGUUGCGUGGUGUUUGAUGUGCUCCUGGUGGCCCUUGAAAAUUUGAAGGAUCGAAUGCCGUCCAUGACUGGUCGUACUCAUAACUGCAUCAGGUCUCUAGGGUGAACAACCUCUGGUCGAUGGAAUAAUGUAAUAAAGGGAAGUCAGUAAAAUGGAUCCAUAACUUUGGGAAAAAAAUUGGGUGGACUUCUUGAGCUGCUCCCACAGCAAGAGCAGGUUGUCGCAUGCCGGCUAGGGGGUAGACUAGGAAUGGUUCCUUCGGACGCCUUCUCUACGUGUCGAACAGCUAACUCAGAAUUGGUAUGGACAAGGGGAAUUCAACUAUUUAAUUAAAACAAAGAAUUGCGAUGGUCCCAAUGGAUGUUCACGUAAUAUGAUUUCUUCCCAGUGCUCCAAAUGUCAAAGUGAAGAAAUUCAACCAAGCGCGAGUAAAUGAUGGGAGUAACUAUGACUCUCUUAAGGUAACCAAACACCUUGUCAUCUAAUUAAUGAUGUGUAUGAAUGGAUUUACGAGAUUCCCACUGUACCUGACUACUAUCCAGUGAAACCACAGCCAAGGGAACGGGCUUGGCAGAAUCAACAAGGAAAGAAUACUCUGUUGACUCUAGUUUGACUUUGUGAAAUGACUUGAGAGGUGCUGUAUAAGAGGGAACCGAAAGGCGAAAGUGAAAUACCGCUACUUUUAACAUUUUAAAAUUAUUUUAUGAACCAGAAGAGGGGCACUGCCCCUCUUUUUGGACCCAAGGCUCGCUCUGCGGGCUGAUUGGGUGGUAGACAUUUUCAGGUGGGGAGUUUUGAUGGGGAGGCACACUUGUUAAAAGAUAAUGCAGGUGUCCUAAGUUGAGCUCAAUAAGAAUAGAAAUCUCAUGUAGAACAGAAGGGUAAAAACUCGUUUGAUUCUCAUUUCUAGUAUAAAUACAAACCAUGAAAGUGUGGCCUAACGAUCCUUUAGACCUUUAAAAUUUGAAUCUAGAGGUGUUAGAAAAGUUACCACAGGGAUAAUGGGCUUGUGGCAGCCAAGCUUUCAUAGCGACACUGCUUUUUGAUCCUUCGAUGUUGGCUCUUCCUAUCAUUAUGAAGCAGAAUUCGCCAAGUGUUGGAUUGUUCACCCACCAAUAAGGAACGUGAGCUGGGUUUAAACCGUUGUGAGACAGGUUAGUUUUACCCUACUGAUGACAGUGUCACAAUAGUAAUUCAACCUAGUAUAAGAGGAACCGUUGAUUCACAUAAUUGGUCAUCGCGCUUGGUUAAAAAUCCAGUGGCGCAAAGCUAUCAUGUUUUGGAUUAUGAAUGAACUUCUCUAAGUCAGAAUCCGGGCUAGAAGUGACCCACAGUAGGGGCCUCAACCCCCAAGGGAACAUGUCGUUGGCUAAUCCAUCGCAGUAUACGAGUCGCGGUGGUCGCCUUGAAGUAUAAUUUCCAUCAAGCAGUGGGUAGAAUACUUUGUAGACAACUUAAGUAUGUUACGGCGUAUUGUAAUUGGCAGAGUUGCCUUCCUAGCAUGAUCCACUGAGAUUCAUCCCUUUGUCGCUCCGGUUUGU